GGGAGGCCCAAGCAGCGAGCACAUGCCAUAACCUGCUGGAGGGGCAGGUCCUGGCUCCACACUUCACACGUGAGAUAAAAUGUAAGCUCAUACCAACCUCUGAGCACAAGCAAACGGAUGCAGCGCAUCAGCCAGGUGGGUACUCCUAUACUAAUUACUGUGUUUGCGUAUCAGCUUAUGUUCUUUGUGUCACACUAUAAGAACUUAGGAAAUGUGUGCCACUGUGGUUGGAGGUGGUUGUCUCUCAGCGAAGAUGUGAGAACCCUAUGGGCAUGUAUGGCAAAUGCAAAAUGAAAUGGGUUAGUUCCUUUCACGUCUGAAAGUCAUCUUGCUUUGCAGUUCAAGAGACUGAGAGCUUACAUGCGGCCAGUGACUCUGUCCCAGCUAAAAUAUACUUCUCUGCUGAGAAGUGGUAACAUUUCCAGCCAUUCUAAUGUGGUUAUAAGGAUAAGUCUGGUCAUGCCCUCAUAUGUCUCUCUUUGCUUUAUCUGGUUAAGGCAGUGCCCCUUUCAGAAUGAAGGCAAGCAAUGUGACAUUUCAGGUACUACAGCAAUCUUAAUUGCAAGUCAUUCUAGUAGCGGAGGUGACUAAUGUAAUAAAUACGCACACAUGCAUCGAUACAGACAGCACUCAUUGCAAAAAUGACUGCCAGUCAUUUCUCUAACCAGAAUGUACUAUGAUGUGUACUCUGCUGUUGAAGUUUUAGUGGUGCUUCUGAAUGCCAUACAGCUGGGCCCCACUCUUAAAAAUAGCAGCGAGAUAUGAAUAAGUGCUGUUUGGUUCAGCAGGAAAGAAGAAAACAUCACCUCAGUAGGAACAGAUGAGUCUGGUUAGGUUUUAUGUCUCUUGCUGAAAAACUGCAAAGGAAUAGCUGUAUUUCACAGUGAAAAUUGCAUUUAAUUGAAAGCAAAACAUUCAAGCACCCAAAAGAGAAGUGAGAAGAAGGGAUCCCACUCACAGGGGGAUAGUGGAGCUGAGAGGCUGUCCCUCUAGUCUGGUGGCCAACGGGGCACAGUCCUGUGAGGUUCUGGGGAAGGAGUGGGCUCAAUGAGUGAAAGAUGCUAACACGACCCAGACACUCUGCAACAUUAAACACUUAAAAAGGUUUGGGGUUUUGAAUACAGAGACCUCAGCCUACUUGGUUACCAUGGCAAACAAUCACCAAUAGAAGUCUUUUAAUCUUUAAUUAAAGAUACACAAAAAAGGAGAAAAAACAGUUUAAGCACUUGAAAAAUAAGACUUUAUGCUUUAAAAGUGUCCAUUAUCCCUCUUCCCUUAGCUGUCAACAGUUUUUGUAGCAGUGCUUCCCUCCCUUUAUUUAAGGUCAUAGCAGCACUCACUGUUUUUUGGGAGACACUCAUUGAGAUAGACUGGAUCUGCUGUUAGUACUCAUUUUGGGAUUCUGCUUUGCUCAUUUGAAGACACAGGCAUGCAGGAGGGGAGAGGAAAGGAGAGCAAAGACAAAAAUUAUUACUUCCUCUUCAGGUGUUGACUUUUACUUGCAGCCUCACUGCUAGAAAAAGACAAGCACAACACAUGGACUUAUCAGCCCCUCUCUGAUCAAGGGGAUUUAUAUCAGCGUCUGUCUCAUUUAGACAUUGCUUUUGGUUGUCUCCUUGAUUGCAGUUCACAGCUGUGUUGUACAACCCGUACCCUCCUAUCUAGGAUAGUUUGAUUAAAAGGAAGGUAAAAGAAAGAAAAGGCAGAGAAGCAUGUGAAAAGACUGCAAAGCUACUGAGAGAAGGGUGGCUUCAGGACCCCAAGUCUUCCCUUCCAAGUGGGUUUCCAGGACUGCACUGAAAUUGGUGGACAUAGCGAUGACUCCCAUGUAUCUCCUCACCAGAAACUCACCAGAAGGUCUGACCAGAUCAAGUAAGUGUAGAAUCAUAGAAUCACAAAGGUUGAAAAACACCCACAGGAUCAUCCAGUCCAACCAUUCACCUGUCACCAGUGGUUCUCACUAAACCAUGUCCUUCAACACAACGUCCAAAUGUUCCUUGAAAUACCAACAGUGUCACAGCAGAGACUUAGAUCUCGAAGUUGACAACGACAGCUGUCAGCAUUUCUCCUUUCUGUCCACCUAUUCUAGGAUCAGUAUCAAAAUGGAUGUACCCCAGAGGAUGAUGUACAUGCCACCAGUCACCAGUUGGCUUUAGCUCCUGGCACAUGAGUUUUGGUCCAUUGAUUUUGGCAUUUAUCUUGUACAUCAGGCCUGAUGUCAGCACAGUCCUUGGUUAAUAUUAGGAAGACUUUCUGAUUGAACUAAUUUGGUCUUCCCAUCUUUAACUUGUGCUGACUUCUCCAAGUAAUUUUCUCCAGCAGACUGAGCUGCACUUUCUCACCUCUGUGAACUUUAGCACAUGCGUUUGCCUGAUGUGCUCGCGUAGGAUGUUCAAUGCCCUCUUCUGCUUCCCUGUCUACCCUUCUUCUUUUCCAGGAGAAUACCACAGUCACAAGAGCAGGGGUACCCUGGGAGAGGCUCUGCCAAUGGCACUUUCAUAUUCCUUAGUAGCGCAGUACUCAUUAGCACAGACUGGGGAAGCCAGGUGAAUUGUGUCCAUGAGUGUCUCUACUGGGGUCUGGAAAGACCUUCCGCACAGAUCAGGACACAUAAGUGGUGAGGAGUAAGAACAACCCACCUUAGUAUGCAGCACAGCACAACCUUAUGGCAUUCUCUUGGGAGAUAAGUGAUGCUGGUUCUAGUUCCCCCAGGCAGAGGAGGAAAUUAAACCCAGGACUCCCACAUCCUUUAUGAGCGAAUAAAAAGUGGCUGUCUUCCUCUCAGCUUUGUGAAUAUAAUCGUGAUAUUUUCUUCCGGGGAAUCAAUUUGGUAAGUCCACGCUGAAUUCAACAAUCAUUUUGGGACAAUGGAAAAAAAAGCAAACAUUUUUCAAUGAGAAGGAUGCUGGCUAAAAAAACAUUCUAUUGACUGUAGUGGCAGUACAACAACCAGACAGACCCCAUCACUCUGCCACUUUAUAUCCAGCAGCUGUAGGACAGGAAACUCUCAUACUUGCAGACAGCGGAGGAACUUACCUGGCAAUGUGAAAUCUUGCUAGGAAAAAAGGGUUGUGCGGGAGUAAUGAAAUCCUCUGGGAAUGGCAGAUGAAACCUGAACACCGGUGGGACUGCCUUGAGUUCUGACACAAUUACCACAGUGCAUAAGAAAAACCUGCAAAGAACAGGCUCACUCCGAGGGCUGAGAUGUGACCAGUGUCCCAGUUAUUAUUAGCUACUAAAGGUCUGAAAAGGUUCAAACUCCAUCUUUGUAGGAAUUCAAACAGAGGGAUGCAUGAGGCCUUGCUGACGGCUUCCAGACUGAAAAAGAAAGCGGAGGGAAAAGGGGCAUUUCUCUGACCUUCCUCGGUGAUUGCUCAGAACUGUGUCUACUGAUGGCCGUGUCCAACACCGACAAGAAGAGGCAAGAGAAGUCAAAAUCUGAGGAGUGAGAUGUUCUGCUAGCACAGAAAAGCCACCUGGAGAAACAAAAACAAAUGUCACACAGCUGCGAGUGGGAGAAAUGCUAUUGUUUUCCUGGUAGCCCGUCCUUCCAGUCUUCUGAGAGAAGCGGGGGAAGGAGGAUUUGACCCUCACUGAGUGAAGGAGUUGCUGAUUUAGUCAAGUCAAGAACAGGAUGCGACGCUUUGGUCUAGUGCAUUGACAUUUGCAUCUCUGAGUGAGAAUGCUUAUUUUCAUUGGAGGAACAGCAAGACUGCCUUUUGAAACAUUUAAAGUUCCUGUUCCCUGCCUCCGUCCAUUCAUGCAAGAGGAACUUCAGCAGAGGAAAGUGGCGCCUGAACCCCCAGUCCCAGGAAAGUCUGUAACACUGGGAAUACUAUUAUAGAAUCAUAGAACUGUUUGAGUUGGAAGGGACCCUUAAAUGUCAUCUCGUUCAACUCUCCUGCAAUGAACAGGGACACCUACAGCUACAUCAGGUUGCUCAGAGCCUGGCUCUAGCUCCUUCAGGAAUGACUUCGGAGAUGUCCUUCACUGCUUGUGUUUCACAAGAGCUUGGGCCUGGCUUGAGUUAGUCUUGAGGCCACGACACUGCACAGGGAGCCCACAGUGCCAGCCCAUUGGGCUCACCCUCUGUCCCACCUCUGCACUGCUAAAAAAGAGGAUGCAUGGAUAGGAAUGGGGAGAGAAAGUUAUGGGCAUUGUGACUGUAGAUCCACCUUUGUGAAAGUCUGUGCUUUAUCUCUGUGAUUCAGUUACUUCUUAAAAGACAUGAAAAGAAUGGAAUUAAGAUGGCAAAUGCAAUUGUCUGUCCUGCUAAAAGCAUUGCGAGCAAAAGCAGCUUUCAGAAAAGGCAGUGACAGAACGACCUGGCUGCGAUGUGCUGGGUUUGGCUGGGGCACGGAGCACCCUACAAAUCCCCACGGGAAGAAAUGGCCUCUGCCGGGAGUGAAGUCAUCCAGGGGAGCGGCCUGGUAACAGCCGACAGCCUCCCUCAGUCUUCUGGGGACUCCCAGAACCUUCCUAAGCUUUCUAGGGCCUUCUGAGGCUGUGAGGAGAUGCGGGUCACCAGGCCAUCAGGCCCUGCCUGCGCUGAGAGCAUCACGCUCGGACACAGAGCAGCCAAGCCGACCCCACACCCGUGGUGUCCCCCACAACAAGGCCGCUCGUCCCGCAGCCCUCCGCCAUUUCCCCACUGCCUCCCUGGGGGAGGCCCGCGCUGCGCGGGGGCAGGGGGUGCCCAGCUGCCUGCUCGCACCUGCCGCUGCUCGCAACUGCAAUUAGUUGCACCCGGUCGAAGCCAAAUUGAGGCCCCUUUCAAGCCGUAACUCUGCGCAUUCUGUUUCCAAAGGGAAGUUCAUCUUUUAUGUGCAUGCAAAAUGGAUAACACCCAAGGAACUUUUUUUUUUCUUUUUUUUCUUUUUUUUUUUUUCUUUUCCCCUUCUGCCAGUCAGGCGAGGAUUUGUUUAAAAAAGCACUGCUGCGGCGGUGAGGUUUUAGCAAUCCUUCUGGUUGGGCUUGGGAAAGGUUGGCUUGUCAAAGAGCGGGCUCAGCGUGUGUGGCCUGCUCCUGGCGAGGGGUGCUCCCGGAGUGGAUGUCUCACGUCACAUUGGCAGCAUUACAUUGCCGUCGCAGCUCUCUUAGGCACUCUGCUCCCCCACACCGUUCCCUUUUCCUGCAGCCUCUGCCUCGGGCUCUUUUCCUCCUCCCUCACUCCUCCUCGUUGUUUUUCCUGCGCCCGCAUCCACAUUCACCCAUCUGCAAAUCCCCUUUCCUUGGGAUGGCGGUGCGUGGUGGUCCCCGGUUCUGCUGAAUCAGUUCUUCCAAAGGCAGGGCUCCCGUCCCUGUGAUUGACAGAAGGUGCUGAUUCAGUAGUGCGUGGGGGAUCCGGCAGCAACCGCAUUAAGAGGAUUUACAAAAAAGAUAAGGCGCAGCGCUGAGCUUCCCUCGGUAAUCGUACAGCACACAAUUCGGGACUGCGCUGGGAAUUUCGGCGCGGCUGACAGAGAGUCGGAAACUGUGUAGCUGUGAGGCCUUGAUUGGAGGGAGCAAGUCCACUGAAGGGGAGCACGCAGAGAAAAGCAGGCGUGUGAAGAGGCUGCUCGCUGGUAAAGCAGACCACAGCAUUUGCUACGGCGGUCGUAGAUCAGACUGCUCACGGAAAGGGGCCCUUGUCUGAAGAUUCCCACUCCAGUCCCAUUGACUUUAUGGAUAGUCCUCGGGAUCUUGUCUGAGCACAUCCAAAUGUUUGUACAGCACCUGAUGCAAACAGGCCGUCGUCCUGCUUCAUUUGUCAAAUGAUAAAUAACAUAAUAAUGCUGUAAUUGGAGUCAUUCAUACAGACAGUAAUCAUCUGGUGAUUCAGUACAGCACAGACUUGUGAGGUGGAAGGCUGUGCUAAGCUUAUGCAGAGACUUCUAUCUUGCUCAUCAGUUUCUGCAC
Long non-coding RNA from Gallus gallus (chicken), 5898 nucleotides. The record is from Ensembl. NCBI's taxonomy places the organism in Eukaryota, Metazoa, Chordata, Aves, Galliformes, Phasianidae.